CAUCACGAGUUAAAGAUUUUUUCCCUUUUCACAUUGAUGCUUCUGAUAUACUUUUAUACGUUAGCUGAUUGUAUGUGCGUACUUUGUGGCUGCCAAGAUGCAGCUGGAAAGUGUGUGGGGGUUGUCUGCUUCCUCUGAGGCUGCUACAGGUGGUCAGGUGGGGGCGGCCGUGAUAAAGGUACAGCACCCACUUCCGCCAGCUUGUCUUGUGCGCCCUGUAACCCACUGCAUGAACCUGAGUGGCACUUCAACCGGAUUUUCUUGUUGGCACUUUUAUCUUUCACUGCUUCUGACUUGCCUGUUGAGGUUUAUGACUAAGUUUGUGAUUAAAAAUUCCCUUUUUAGGUAUGAAAAAUCUUUUCAAUUACUUUGUGUUCCUUUUUUUGUUUGGUUUUUGUUGUUUGCAUGUGGACUUUCUGGGUUUUGUAAAAAUGAAUCUUAAAAAAAUCUUAAUAUUAUGUAAGAGUUAGAUAAAGGUUAAGUAGCUAAUAUAUUCCCUCAUUAGGGCAAUAGAAUCAACGUAUGUUCUUGGAAGAUUAAGUGUGUUAAAAUGCAUUUUAUGAUGAAAGCACUUUCAGUUAUUUAGAAUAGGCAUGGAAAAGCCCAUUUCAGAAUAUUGUCAUAAAAUCAUUAGACUUGGAAAGGUUUUCGUUUAUUCAGUCCGUAUCCCCCUGUCUGUUUAAUCUUUGCAUACUACUGUCCUUGGAGCACGGAGAAACGUGAGCUACCCUUGGAGGUUUAUAGUCCCACUGGAAGGGAACCAAUGUUUAUGCCUGAUUAUAUGAUAGGAGCGUUACAUGUUCUUAUUCCAUCUUUGAGGAAACCUUAUAAAUAAGAUAAUAACUUUUUCAGAGAAAGAAGCUGGGGUUCUGAGACAUUACUCACUUAGGGGCACCCAGAGGAAACAGCAAGACCUCCGGCUUCAUCACCAGUAAUUUCCAGCAUGUGAGCUGCCCUCCACACUCUGUAAUUUAAAAAAAUUUGGGGACAUCUAGUAAAUAUUCUAGAAGUUCAGAAGCAAAAAAGCUAGGCUGCAGCUGAAGUACUCAGAUUUACCACUGGCUGACUGGGAAAUCAGACCUGAGCCUUGACAAUGGGUAGAAUCUGUAUAGAGGAGCCGAGAGAAGAAGAGUUUCCGCACUGCAUAAGCCCAAUGAGGGAAGGUGUAAUAACAAAGGAAAGGUGAGCACACAGGUUUAAGAGAUGCUGUGUGGGCCGGUCCAGCUGGGAGCCAUUACCACUCAACACUUAAUGGAGUGCUUACUGUGCUAGGCACUUCUCUUAAGUUCUUCACACCUUUUAACUCUUCUUAUCUUCACAGCAAGCCUUUGAAGGAGAUGUUAUUAUCAAGUCCCCCCUGCCCCCCUGUUUUUUAGAAACAGAGUCUUGCUCUGUUGCCCAGGCUGGAGUGCAUGUGGUGUGAUCAUAGCUCUUUGUGGCCUCGAACUCAUGGGCUCAAGUGAUCCUUUUGCCUUAGCCUCCUGAGUAGCCAGGACUACAGGUGUGUGCCACCAUGCCUGGCUAAUUUUUUUUCCCAUAGGAACAGGAUCUCGUUAUGUUACCCAGGCUGGUUUUGAACACCUGGCCUCAAGCGCUCCUUCGCCUUAGCCUCCUAUAGUGCUGGGAUUAGAGGUGUGAGCCACUGCACCUGACCUUCAUUGAGGGAUGAGGAGACUGAGGCACAUAGCAGUUAAGUUGCGGAACUGUGAUUCAAAGCAUGGCCACCAGGAUCCAGAGCCUGAGUUCUUAGCUACUCUGCUGUCUUGUUUUCUCUCUAUCAGGCAAUGCAGGCUGCUUGUUAGAGGGACGGUAAGGAUUCUCGAAUUGCUGGGGAUAGCAAGAGGAAGAUGCAAAUGGUAGGGGUAGUGAUAGAAAGAUCAAAAUGGCAGCAGCACAGCACGCUGGCCAAUUUGACAAGAGGAAACAUUAGGAAAGAAGAGGAGUUUUUUCUCAGCUAAGCAGGAUCUGGUCAGUGUAAGUGGGUAGCAAGAGAGAGAAGUGAGAUGUAACGAAUCAAUAGGCCUUGAUGAAUGACUGGAAUUGAAGGAGAGAGAAUGAGCAAAAAUGAAUCUAAGAUUUGGAGCUUGGUUGACUGGGAGGAUAAUUCUGCUAUUGCAGAAAUCACAUAUACAGGAAAGAUGGCUCACUGGAGAGUUGAGAAUAAAGGAGAGGAGUUCAGGGGAGGGAAUGGAGAUGAUUGGGGGCUAUCUGCAAGGAGAGAAUUGAUGCGCUGGGAAUAGAUGAUUUCUGAGAGAGAAAGAGAGAAAAACCCAGGGCCUUAAAAAGUGUCCUUGGUCGAGAAGCAGAAGGAGAAAGAGGAGCAGGAAACCAUAAAAGAAGCAGGAGAGAGAGGAGAAUAAAAAGAGAAAAAAAGAAAACUACUGAACAGUGUCAGAUACUACAAAGAAGUCAAGGAGAACAAGAGUGAAAGGGGGACAUAAGAUUUGACAAGGAAGAAGGCCAUUUGUACCCUGCACAGUAAGUCUUGGUGGCAUGGGGAGGUGAAAUCUAGUUGCAUUAAGGACUGUGGUGUUGCUGAAUUCUUCCUCAGGGGAAAGUCCCUGGACCUUUUCUAAGCACUAAAUUUGCAGGUAGUUCAAUGUCAAGCUGAGAAGGAACUUGGUUAACAGCACUUGGUGCAUAAUACUAUGUUUUCUUACAGUGACCUAACUGUUCUAUCGUGUUUUGUCUUUCAGCGCGUUCAUUCACAUAGCUCCCAGUUUUAACAUUUCGCCACCUACUGAAGACAUCAUUUGGGGCCAAGCUGAUGAGCCCUUGAAGCAGAGCAGGUGAGGCAAGGACCUCAGCUUGGUCUUUGUUUCAUAAGUUUACACAGCUAGCUUACGUUCCCACCAGCAGUGUGAAAGUGUUCCCUUUUUAUCACAUCCACAUCAGCAUCUAUUAUUUUUUGUUUUUCAAUUAUGUCCAUUCUUACAGGAAUAAGAUGGUAUCUCAUGUGCUUUUAAUUUGCAUUUCCCUAAUAGAGAUGUUGAGCAUUUUUUCUUAUGUUUGUUGGCUAUUUGGAUAUCUUCUUUUGAGAAUUGUCUGUUCAUGUCCUUUGCCCAGUUUUUGAUGGUUUUUUAGAGUUUAUUAGCUUUUAAUAUAAACAUGAGAAAAACCACAUAAAUUGUAGCAUUCUUUUAAAAAUAAAACUGCAAUCAAUACUUGAAUAUCCAAGCUCUGAACUCCAUAAACAAUGUUUUUUCUUUCUUUCUUUUUUUUCUUUUUUUGAUGAGGUUGCUUUUAUCUUUCUGAUUUGAGUUUCUUGUAGAUUCUGGAUAUUAGUCCUUUGUCGGGUGCAUAGUUUGCAAAUAUUUUCUCCCAAUCUGGGUUGUCUUUUUACUCUGUUGAUUAAUUCUUUUGCUAUGCAGAAGCUUUUUAGCUUAAUUAGGUCCCAACUAUUUAUUUUUGUUUUUGUUGCAUUUGCUUUUGGGUUCUUAGUCAUGAACUUUUUGCCUAAGCCAAUAUCUAGAAGAGUUUUUCCAAUGUUCUAGAGUUUUUAUGGUUUCAGGUCUUAGAUUAAAGUCUUUGAUUCAUCUUGAGUUGAUUUUUAUAUAAAGUGAGAGAUGAAGAUCCAGUUCAUUCUUCUACAUGUGGCUUGCCAAUUAUUCCAGCACUAUUUAUUGAAUAGGGCAUUUUUUCCCCCACUUUGUGUUUUUGUUUGCUUUGUCAAAGAUCAGUUGGCUGUAUUUGGCUUUAUUUCUGGAUUCUCUGUUCUGUUCCACUGGUCUAUGCGCCUAUUUUUAUUACCAGCACCAUGCCAUUUUGGUAACUAUAGCCUUGUAGUAUAG
This 3791-nucleotide long non-coding RNA is filed under the name Macaca fascicularis (crab-eating macaque). Its description in RNAcentral is "lncRNA (ENSMFAG00000048146.1)". Lineage: Eukaryota; Metazoa; Chordata; Mammalia; Primates; Cercopithecidae. The record is from RNAcentral.